AUACGUCCCCGCCGACGCCGCGUGAGGUUCUGGAGGGGACGCCGCCGCCGCGAGGUAUUGGAGACCCUUGUUGCACUUGGUCGUAGAACAGAGGACUUUCGUGUAGGAGAAAGCGAGAUGUUCAUAGUCCACCUUUGUCGUCAGAGUUUGUGUAUUCCCUACGGCAGCAAAAAUAACGUCAAUUAAGGCAGCCACCGGUUCAAACAGUGAGCAUCAGGCUUAUUGUCUGUCUUGGGUGUUCAUUGUAGCAGUAGUGUGAGUACUGGACAACCUUCUGCCACCGUCGUUUACCUCCGACUCGCCAGCCAGCUGCCAUCGUCUACCUCCUGUCUACCUCGUGCCUCGCUGGACAGCGCAGUCGUCAAACUCUGUCUCACCGGGAAGCCACUGCCGUCUACCUCUGCUUUGUACUCCCUCCUUCCGGAAAUACUUGUCGGAGAAA
Long non-coding RNA from Triticum dicoccoides, 442 nucleotides. RefSeq lists it as uncharacterized. NCBI's taxonomy places the organism in Eukaryota, Viridiplantae, Streptophyta, Magnoliopsida, Poales, Poaceae. The transcript is spliced from 3 exons. The record is from RefSeq and is a predicted model, not a curated record.